AGAGAUGUGGCUGAGGGGUUAAAGGCGACAGAUUGUAAAUUUGUUAGUAACAAACUUUCAUAGGUUCGAAUCCUAUUAUCUCUACAA
This 87-nucleotide transfer RNA is filed under the name Kordiimonadales bacterium. RNAcentral describes it as "tRNA-Tyr". It matches the Rfam family "tRNA". From Rfam's summary of the family: Transfer RNA (tRNA) molecules are approximately 80 nucleotides in length. Their secondary structure includes four short double-helical elements and three loops (D, anti-codon, and T loops). The record is from RNAcentral. Lineage: Bacteria; Pseudomonadati; Pseudomonadota; Alphaproteobacteria; Kordiimonadales.